RNAcentral lists this long non-coding RNA (7184 nucleotides) under Glycine max (soybean). RNAcentral describes it as "long non-coding RNA (GMAX_LNC001883)". Lineage: Eukaryota; Viridiplantae; Streptophyta; Magnoliopsida; Fabales; Fabaceae. The record is from RNAcentral.
UUGGAGAUGGUGGAGGUGGAGAUUGGAGGAAGAGAGUUGUAGUAGUAGUAGGGUGAAUGAGGCUUAGGAGAUGGUGGAGGUAGAGAUUUAUAGUAUUAAGAUGUUUGAGAAUAAAUACGUAUGUUGAAGAUCUAAUUUAUUAUGUUAUUAAUUUGUAAAAAAUUAUUCUUUAUUUUAUUAUCAUAUUCAUUAUUAAAUUGUUAAUUUGAUAAGUCAUUGAUUAAAAUUAGAUGUUUGUUAUCAUGAUAGAGAUUAUGAUAAUGAGAAACAAAUUUUUUAUAAUUUUAAUUCAAAUUAUUCUUGAUAGUAUGAUUAUCGUGAAUAGGACAUCAAUAAUCAUGAUAGAUUAAUAUAUAUGUAAUGAUCUUUAUUGAAUAAAGAUUAAUAAAUUUUUAUUGAAUAAUGAUCUUUAACACGAGAUUAUCAUAGUAAUUAAUAAGUUAUUGGUAUAUUUUAAUUUCGGAUGCCUAAUGUCUUAGAACACUAGUUGAAUGAAUAUUAGAUAUGAUUAAAUACUUGUAAAAUUAAUGAUUAAUCAAGAAGGAAUCCAUCAAUUCUAGGUAAUGAGUUUGAGUUCUAUUUUAGAAUUAAGACAUUGACUAAGGCAAUUGAAUGAAAGAAGAAAAUAGUUUCUUAAGUCAUUCAUGUGUUAGCUUAUUAGAGUUUGACAAUAAUACUAUACUCUAGAGUUAACCUAUGAUGGAAGCAAAUAUUAUAUUCUUCUUCUAUUGGUUCUCGAAGGGAAAAAGAUUUUGUUUCAGGUUAUCCGGACUUUAAGGAGUGUUGUUAAACGCCUAACUUGAUUAAUAAAUUAAUUAUGAUUAAUUUAUUAUCAAUUUAGUAUUGAACCUACAAGGUCACACACAAACGAGUAUUUCAAUAUUUACAAAAGAAAAUAAUUUAUUUUGAUAAUUAAAUUAGAGAAUUUAAUUUAAUCAAAUAAAUAUUUUAGUGAAAUAUUAUUAUAUUUUUUGCUAGGACCAAUAAUAUAAUUAAUAUAUAAAAAGGGAAUAUUAUUUUAUAAUUGUGAAGAUGUCCAUAAAAUAAGAAUAAUAUUCAAUUGCUAUGUAUCAAGGAUGUGAUUAAUUAUUGUAAUUAGUUAUGUGAUUAAUUAUGAAUUAUCUUUAUCUUAAAUCAGUAAGCUUCUUAAAAUAAAAUAUAUGAGAUAAUAUUUUUUUUAUAAAGACAAAUAUAAAUGAAAUUAUUUUAUAUAUUUUCUUUUUUUUCUCACCCAAAUCCAUAUCUCUUUAAUAUUAUGAAUAAAAGUAUCUAUAUGAGGCAAAGCGUACUAAAUAAAGACUGAAAAAGGUUCAAGUCUAGUUUUAGACGUGAAAAGUAGAAAAAAAAUUAUUCUUUAGAGUUUCAUCCAUCAAAGAAUUUGAUAAUAAAGAUUGACCUGAGUAUAGAUACAAGUAGAGUUUUUAGACUAUUAAAAAAAAUGUGUUGCUUCAAAACCUACAUUUUGAUGCAUUAAUUUAUUAUUUAUUUAUUUAUUAUUAUUGUAUAUUUUGAAUAUAAAAUAAAUCCUAAUUUUUUUCCUACAAUUAUUAGAAACAUUUUUAUGUAACUAUCAUACUACACACACGAGGAUAUGAGGAUAUGGUGAAUGAGGUGGUGGAAACUUAUAAUAGUAAGUUGGAAGAGAUGGUGGAGGAGAAGAUUUGUAGGAAUAAGGUAUUGGACGACUUCAUUUUGUGGAAAGAGUCAUGAUUUAAUUUGUUUUUCCUCUCCUUCUCUUAAAAUUUAGUUAUGCCCGUAUAUCUUAUUGAAAACCACAUUUUUUUAGUCUUUCUGGACUGGAUACCCCUACCCCUGGCCAUGAUCAUAAUUCAUAACUAUUAUAUAUAUAUUACACGUAUUUUAUUUGUAACAAAUGGUAUAUCGAUGAGUUUUCUGAAUGUUUGAUCACAUGGAAAAUUUCUGAACGCGUCCUAGAGACUGAAACAGUUUUAUUUGCGCAAUAUAGAGUGUCGGUUUACUAAAAGAACGCACAGAUAGAUAUAUAUCUAUUCCAAAAUGAAGCGUAUGUAUACACGGAAUGAAAAAUGAUUAGUAAUAAUAAAUUAAUUUUACGAAAAUUUAUAAUUCUUUUAUUUUUUAUCUCUCUUAGUCGUUAAAAAGAUUAUGUAAAAUAUUGUAUGAGGACAGUUUCUUAAUAGAAACAUUCUAAUGCAUGUGAUACGUACGGAAUUAUUAUAAUUACAGUUGCACGAAGUAUAUUAUUAAUUAAUAUUCUCCUGUUAACAACCUUUUUUAUUGAGUAGUGUUUUUUCAUUGGAGGAAAUCCUUAAAUAUAUUUUUGGUGAAUCUAAGUUUACUUAAGCGGUACAUUAAUUAGAAAAAAAUAUUUUUUCCCCUAUUUUGUUUAUAUAAGUAAAAAAGUGAGAAUUAUAUGAACGUGCGAAGUGUGUGUAUGAGAUAAUAUUUGUUUUACAUAAUAUACCCUAAAUCAUAAAAGAAGCUUCACUGUGUAACUUAAAUUAAAAUUUGUAUAUCUCCCCCAUGUGCGUCUGACUACUGUUACCAUGCAUAUUCUAAUUAAGAACCCUGUUAGUGCCUUUCUUCUUUUUAUCCUCUUUCCUUCAUGAUCACCAUUGUUAAAUGGCAGUCAAUUCCAUGUACGUAUUGCAUCUCUGAAUUCAAGUCUAGCUGUCUCAUCGAGUUUAAUUUGUGAUAAUUGGUCUCAAGUAAAAAAGACCACUAAUUUGAUCAUUAAAUAUAUAUAUAUAUAUAUAUAUAUAUAUAUAGACAUAUAUAUAUAUAUAUAUAUAUAUAUAUAUAUAUAUAUAUAUAUAUAUAUAUAUAUAUAUAUAUAUAUAUAUAUAUAUAUAUAUAUAUAUAUAUAUAUAUAUAUAUAUAUUGAACAAUGCUAAUUAAAUACCAUAUAUAGUCAGAAAUAGAUCAGUGGGGGGUGCAUGUAUGUUAAGUUAGAAAGAGAUAAGAUCGUGGUUGUGGCAUAUAGACGUGCAUGGGGUGGUGUGGCUUAUAUGAUAUGAGAAAAUCAAGUAAUUGCAGGCAUUUUUUUUAAAAAAUAAAAUGACUUCAUUAAUCGUCUCCAACAUCAGUUAUAUAUAUUGACAUGUUUUUUAAAAUAAUCAAAACUGUCUCGCUCCCAAAUCCCUCUCACUUCUUUUCUUCCCUCUCACUGGCUUAGGGAUUUUCACUUUCGAAAAACAUGACUUAGGCCAUAAUUGAAGCCAUUAGACAGUAAUAUAUCAUAUGAGCAGGGGCCAAUCCAAACUCAAAUGGCUGUGAGGACCGAUAAUAAAAAAUAAAAUUCAUCUAACACAUCAUAAAAAUAUAUAUUCAUAAAUUAAUGUUUUAAAAUGUUAAUUACAAUAAUAAUCUAUUAAAACACGGGACCUUAUUCUUAUAUGUACUAAAUUUUUUAUCAAUUCUUCAAUGUAUAUUAACAAAAUGUGAAUCAAGAAUCCAUCUUUCAUCUUCUUUAAUAAUUAUAGAUUAACAAAAUUUGAGAAAAAUAAAACCUACUAUAUAAUAAGUAGAAUUAGUCAAAUAUAAUAUUCGGAUAAGAUAUUUUACAAAAAAAGAAAUAAAAUUACUAUUGAUUUUAUAAUUUAAAAUUACAGAAAAUAAAAAUUGAUGGUAUAAUAACAAAAAUUGUUAAAAAAUAAUAUUUAAAUAUUUUUUUUAAAAAAAGACAAAAUUGCUAUUGAUUUUAUAGUUUGAAAAAAAAGAGAUAAAAACAAUUAUAUAAAUUGAUGGAUUUGAAUCCAUCCAUUUUUUUUUAUGGAUAAAUUAGAUGAAUUUAUUGUGGAUGAAUUAAUUGGAUAAUGGAUAAAUGAAUUCAUUUGUCACCACUAGCCUGGGACCUAGUCAUGUCCACCAUAGUGGAAAAGUUAUUUUGACCAUUGGAUUUAAAUUUUUCUUGAGAUAAGUGCAGGCUUAUCUUAAGACAAGUUACACUGGAUUAUUAUUAUUAUUAUUAUUAUUAUUAUUAUUAUUUUCCUUAAAAAGUGUUAUUCUUUCCUGUUCUAGUUUAUCGCCCCUUUCUUUCUCUCUCCGACUCUCCCUUCCAUCUACUUAUUCUCCUCCUCCCCUUUUUCAAAAUGUCAUGCUUCUUCGGUGACCUCAACAACUUCUUUGUCAUCAAGCUCCUCGUCGGACACGUAGUUAGCUAUGGUAGGAUUUGAAUACGAAAGAAUGGGCUUCAACGUCCACAAAAUGCUGAUUGGUGCGAUUGUUACUUUAAUGCAAGUGUAGGUAGGUUUGGAGCUUUGAUGUAGGUUUGGGAUAUGUGUGUGUGUGUGGAAAGAAACACGACCUAAAUUUAGGGGAUAUGUAGAUUAUUAUGCUUUUUUAUGCAAAUAUUGACAAAUUUAUUGCAAACAACACAAAAAGAUAUAUUAAAAGAAUUUCACAAUAAUUUGAAUGAAAUCAUACACAAUCAACCAUAUUAAUCUACAAAGAAACAAAUAAGAAAGCUCUAAAAGCAGCCUGAAUUGAUAUCAACAUUUCUAAUCUUGCUUCCUUGUCUUGAAUCUUUUUGAUUUGUCGCUUCCUUGAACUUAGUAAGAACAACACUUGAAAAAUGGCCACCAAAUAAAUAGAAGCAACCUCAUAUGAGUCAUGAAGAUCGUAGCUUAGAGGUGAUACACUCAGACUCUUAUUCAAAGAACUUGUAUAACAAAUUAUAUGCUUAACUCUGCUCCAAAUGGAACGGAAAUUUAUUCCACAAUGAAUACUAGAACCUGAAAUAAAAUAAAAGUUUUCAAUACUUCUCAGAGUUUAUAAAUGCAUAUAAAAUAGACAUUUAUCUANNNNNNNNNNNNNNNNNNNNNNNNNNNNNNNNNNNNNNNNNNNNNNNNNNNNNNNNNNNNNNNNNNNNNNNNNNNNNNNNNNNNNNNNNNNNNNNNNNNNNNNNNNNNNNNNNNNNNNNNNNNNNNNNNNNNNNNNNNNNNNNNNNNNNNNNNNNNNNNNNNNNNNNNNNNNNNNNNNNNNNNNNNNNNNNNNNNNNNNNNNNNNNNNNNNNNNNNNNNNNNNNNNNNNNNNNNNNNNNNNNNNNNNNNNNNNNNNNNNNNNNNNNNNNNNNNNNNNNNNNNNNNNNNNNNNNNNNNNNNNNNNNNNNNNNNNNNNNNNNNNNNNNNNNNNNUGGUGAUGGUGAUGGUGGCGGGGGAGAUUUAUAGUAAUAUGGAGGAGGUGAUGGUGAUGGUGGAGGAGGGCUCUUGUAGUAAUAAGAAGGUGGGGGAGGAGAUUUGUAAUAGUAUGUUGGUGGUGGUGGAGGUGGUGACUUAUAGUAGUAAGGAGGGUGUGGGUGCGGUGAGGGUGAAGGGGGUGGGGGAGAGUUGUAAUAAUAUGGUUUGUGAUAAGGAGUAGGGGAAGGCUUGGGCUUGGGCUUUUCGCAAUCAUAUGACUUUUCAGGAGCAUAAGCAAAUGGCUUAGCCUUGAGCACAACUUCAUACUUAUCCUUGGACUUCACCUUCAAUUUGGUUCCCUCAUUAAGCUUGGUGGGUAUGUUACAGCGUGAAUCCUUAGGAGGAGCAUGGAGUUUAGCCUUGCAGACUGUGGCUCCAUAUUUCACAUAGUCAAAGCCUUCAACAGUGAUGCUGUACUUUCCAUUGCUCUUAGUUUUACCAUAAGCUUUUAUGGUCUUGCUCCCAACUUCACAAGUCACUUCGACCGUGGCACCUAAUUAACGAUGCCAUUAAAUGUGUGGAUCGCACAUGUUAUUGACAAAUCAAUCUAACAUAUAAAACCAUGACAUUAUUGUUUUCUUUAAUUUUAACGGAAGGAAAUGUUUUGUGAACACAAAAUGGGAUAAUAAAGUUAUUUCUUAUAACAUUAUGAUGUGUUUUUAAAACACGUGUACGAAAAAAAAGAAGCAUGUGUUACAUUAAUAAAUCUUUAUUUUUAAAGGUUUAAAUAAUAUAAAUAAAAUUAAAAUAGUUAACCUAUCCUAGCUUUUUCAUAUUUUGAUUGUUGGCUUCAUUGAUUACAUAAGAAAUAGUCGAUUCUAAACAAUAUUUUCUAUUUUCCAACAAAAAUUGUAUUUUUUUUUAUUGAAAUUCCAACUAAAGUCCUCUUCAAAAAAAAAUUGACAACUUUCUGUUUGAAAAGGGUAAUAUAGGUACUUUAAAAAGUAGUAUAUGUUUAGGUUGGUCAUUUGUUUAAUUAGUUAGCAUAGAUCAAGAUUCUCAAAAAUAUUUUUUUGUUAAAAUAUUUUCUCAAAUUGAAACAUGUUUUAUUUCUUAAUUGAAAUGAUAAUUACAAAAAAAAACUAGUUGACUAAAUAAAAAAAGGAGAAAUUAUAACUGUAAAAUUAUUUUAUAUUAGUUUUUUUUACAAAUUUUAUAGAGAAAAGAAAAAAAUGAGAAAAUAUCAAAUAAUUAAAUGAUUUAAUAGAAAAAAUAAAAAAAUAUGACUAAAAUACUAUAAGAAUAUUAUAUUGUAUUAAAAACAACUGUUUAUGUAUAAAUGCAGUUGAACUUCUCUAGACACAACAACACACACAUAACAAUAUCGAUGUAAUUAUACAAAUAAAAAUAUGAGCUUGAAAAAGAAAAAUUAAUUAAAGAAACAUAUAUGGCAGCCAAUGUCCCAAAUUAAAAUUUUGAGAAAAACAAAAGUACAGAUUAAUAUUACCAAAAAGUAACAUUUUUGAAGUAUUCAUAAUAUUAUUAUUGUGAAUGUAUUAGAAUGAAAUAGUAAAAAAAUAAAAGUAAUGUAGGUACCUUUGAGGUGUUUCUUGUUGUGCGACUUUUGGGGGUAUUUCCAGUCAUAACAUCUAUAACAAUAGACUUUACCCACAAUCUUAACAAUCAAUGGGUGAUGAUAUGGGUGAGGGUGAGGAUAUGGAGUGUAUGGAGGAGGCUUAGGAGAUGGUGGAGGCAGAGAUUUAUAGUAGUAAGGCACAUGAGGAGGAUACGGUGAAGGAGGAGGUGGAGACUUAUAAUAGUAAGGUGGAGGAGGUGAAGGAGAUGGUGGAGGAGGAGAUUUGUAGUAGUAAGGUGGUGGAGGAGAUGGUGAAGGAGGAGGCGGAGACUUGUAGUAAUAUGGAGGAGGGGGUGAGGGAGAUGGAGGAGGAGGAGAUUUGUAGUAGUAUGGUGUUGGAGCUGGGUGACUUCUCAGGUGGGGGAGGAGACUUGUAGUAGUAUGGUGGUGGUGGUGAUGGUGAAGGUGGUGGUGGGGACUUGUAGUAGUAAGGAGGUGGAGGUGAUGGAGAG